CAUCCUCCAAGGCUAAAUACUCCUGACUGACCGAUAGUGAACCAGUACCGUGAGGGAAAGGCGAAAAGAACCCCGGCGAGGGGAGUGAAAAAGAACCUGAAACCGUGUACGUACAAGCAGUGGGAGCCCCACCACCAAAGCAUUCUCUGGUGUUGAAGGCCCUGCAAAGCAGCAUCGCGGUGGCGGAGCGUCGUUUGCGACGCCCAACACACAAAACAAGCGGUGAAUGCUUUGGGGUGGGGUGACUGCGUACCUUUUGUAUAAUGGGUCAGCGACUUAUAUUCUGUAGCAAGGUUAACCGAAUAGGGGAGCCGGAGGGAAACCGAGUCUUAAUUGGGCGUUAAGUUGCAGGGUAUAGACCCGAAACCCGGUGAUCUAGCCAUGGGCAGGUUGAAGGUUGGGUAACACUAACUGGAGGACCGAACCGACUAAUGUUGAAAAAUUAGCGGAUGACCUGUGGCUGGGGGUGAAAGGCCAAUCAAACCGGGAGAUAGCUGGUUCUCCCCGAAAGCUAUUUAGGUAGCGCCUCGUGAAUUCAUCUCCGGGGGUAGAGCACUGUUUCGGCUAGGGGGCCAUCCCGGCUUACCAACCCGAUGCAAACUGCGAAUACCGGAGAAUGUUAUCACGGGAGACACACGGCGGGUGCUAACGUCCGUCGUGAAGAGGGAAACAACCCAGACCGCCAGCUAAGGUCCCAAAGUCAUGGUUAAGUGGGAAACGAUGUGGGAAGGCCCAGACAGCCAGGAUGUUGGCUUAGAAGCAGCCAUCAUUUAAAGAAAGCGUAAUAGCUCACUGGUCGAGUCGGCCUGCGCGGAAGAUGUAACGGGGCUAAACCAUGCACCGAAGCUGCGGCAGCGACGCUGAUGCGUUGUUGGGUAGGGGAGCGUUCUGUAAGCCUGUGAAGGUGUGUCGUGAGGCAUGCUGGAGGUAUCAGAAGUGCGAAUGCUGACAUAAGUAACGAUAAAGCGGGUGAAAAGCCCGCUCGCCGGAAGACCAAGGGUUCCUGUCCAACGUUAAUCGGGGCAGGGUGAGUCGACCCCUAAGGC
This 1046-nucleotide ribosomal RNA is filed under the name Salmonella enterica subsp. enterica serovar Typhimurium. Its description in RNAcentral is "partial 23S ribosomal RNA". It matches the Rfam family "Bacterial large subunit ribosomal RNA", at positions 454 to 1397 of the family's 2925-position model. The record is from RNAcentral. Lineage: Bacteria; Pseudomonadati; Pseudomonadota; Gammaproteobacteria; Enterobacterales; Enterobacteriaceae.